This 663-nucleotide long non-coding RNA is filed under the name Portunus trituberculatus (swimming crab). RNAcentral's name for it is "uncharacterized LOC123506700, transcript variant X1". The record is from RNAcentral. Lineage: Eukaryota; Metazoa; Arthropoda; Malacostraca; Decapoda; Portunidae.
GUCACACUCACGCUCUCUCCCUCUCCACUCUGUCGUGACUCACUGAACGAGACUGAAAGAACAGCACUGGGUAGGGGCUUAGAUGAGAGGGAUGCUGGCUGCCACUCUUGGUGCCUUGGUGGUGUGGUGGAUUGCACCCAUUUUAAAGGAAGACAAAAUUCCUGGCCUUUCGGUCCUGCACAAUUGAGGGAUCACAACUCCUCGUCCUCUGCGCGCUGAAAGAGCUACAGCCUGAACUGCCUCCUCCCGGCCCAGUGCUGAGGAUAAAUGUAAGGAGGGACUGAACAUCGUAUAAUGCCGACUUGAAGACUAUCAUCAGAAUCAUGAAAACAUCCUUUAAAAUCCUUGUAACGCUUUAGGUUCAAAUAAAGAUAAUUUUUAAACACUGCAGGGAUCACGAUUAGCUGAAUACUCAUUAUCUCUCCUUUUCACUGAUGUUGUAGUCUUUGAAACUAUUACUAAAAACCCAUGAAAACACUCUUGAAAACACUGGCAUCGUCCACAACAGUCUUGGAAGUAGUCGAGAUAAGACAUCCAGUACGUUAUAUGAACAUUUAUUUACUAUCAGAAUGUGUGUGAGCGUUUAUCUCCCGUUACAUUCAAUACUUUUGUACUUGUAUGAAAUCCGCAACAAUAUAUUCAUGCAUCAUGUCAUUUAAAAUA